UUGUGGAGGAGGACGCCGAAGGUGGGGCUAAUGACUGGGGUGAAGUCGUAACAAGGUAGCCGUACCGGAAGGUGCGGCUGGAUCACCUCCUAACAGGGAGACAACAAAAUGUUUAAAUUAUUAUUUUGUCACCUUAGGUCGAUCGGUAUCUCACAUUCUUAUUUUAUUAAGGAUUUUAUUUCCUAAGUUUUUUCUAGGUCACACCCAUUACUUUUCCUGGGCCAUUAGCUCAGGUGGUUAGAGCGCACCCCUGAUAAGGGUGAGGUCCCUGGUUCAAGUCCAGGAUGGCCCAUAUCUCUAUGUUGGGGGUAUAGCUCAGUUGGUAGAGCGCCUGCUUUGCAAGCAGGAUGUCAGCGGUUCGAGUCCGCUUACCUCCACUGAUUACCACCUCUUCCAUAAUUUGAAGAAAGGAAAUUUUUUGAGUUGUGAUCAAAUUCUGAACGAAUCUAGCUUCCUAAUGAAUACAUUAAGAUGCUGGACUCAUUGAAUUAAUUUUCAUUGUUUUCAGAGAACCUUGACAACUGCAUAGAUUAUUUUUAAAGACAAUAAGCAUCUUUAAUGAUGCAGAUUUAUUAUUUGUGCGAAUGCAUUAAUAACAAUUCUAUUAAGCUGAUGCUUCAAUUUAAUGAAGUUAUUGGUCAAGCUACAA
This 649-nucleotide unclassified non-coding RNA is filed under the name uncultured Prochlorococcus sp. RNAcentral describes it as "partial 16S-23S ribosomal RNA intergenic spacer; may also contain 16S ribosomal RNA and 23S ribosomal RNA". The stretch from base 305 to 377 matches the Rfam family "tRNA". Lineage: Bacteria; Bacillati; Cyanobacteriota; Cyanophyceae; Synechococcales; Prochlorococcaceae. The record is from RNAcentral.